GCCCGUCACGCCAUGAGAGUCUGUAACACCCAAAGCCGGUGGGAUAACCUUUAUAGGAGUCAGCCGUCUAAGGUAGGACAGAUGAUUAGGGUGAAGUCGUAACAAGGUAAC
RNAcentral lists this ribosomal RNA (111 nucleotides) under uncultured bacterium. Its description in RNAcentral is "partial 16S ribosomal RNA". It matches the Rfam family "Bacterial small subunit ribosomal RNA", at positions 1392 to 1500 of the family's 1533-position model. The record is from RNAcentral.